UACCAGACUCCUACGGGAGGCAGCAGUGGGGAAUAUUGCACAAUGGGGGAAACCCUGAUGCAGCGACGCCGCGUGAGUGAAGAAGUAAUUCGUUAUGUAAAGCUCUAUCAGCAGGGAAGAAAAUGACGGUACCUGAGUAAGAAGCCCCGGCUAACUACGUGCCAGCAGCCGCGGUAAUACGUAGGGGGCAAGCGUUAUCCGGAUUUACUGGGUGUAAAGGGAGCGUAGACGGCGAUGCAAGUCUGGAGUGAAAGGCAUGGGCUCAACCUGUGGACUGCUUUGGAAACUGUGCGGCUUGAGUGUCGGAGAGGCAAGUGGAAUUCCUAGUGUAGCGGUGAAAUGCGUAGAUAUUAGGAGGAACACCAGUGGCGAAGGCGGCUUGCUGGACGAUGACUGACGUUGAGGCUCGAAAGCGUGGGGAGCAAACAGGAUUAGAUACCCUGGUAG
RNAcentral lists this ribosomal RNA (447 nucleotides) under uncultured bacterium. RNAcentral's name for it is "bacterial SSU rRNA". It matches the Rfam family "Bacterial small subunit ribosomal RNA", at positions 329 to 793 of the family's 1533-position model. The record is from RNAcentral.